Molecule: long non-coding RNA, 2020 nt
Organism: Taeniopygia guttata (zebra finch)
Lineage: Eukaryota; Metazoa; Chordata; Aves; Passeriformes; Estrildidae
Source: RefSeq, a predicted model, not a curated record
UUUAGAAAACUUCAUAAGCUUAGAGAUAUCCCCACUGACUUCUGAAUUAGAAUGUGCAAGAUAAAAGCAAAUGCAUUUCUUUAAGCAUUACCAUGGCAACAUUAUUAAAGUUAUGUUAGUUAAGACUGCAACAAUGUUUCUAUUUUUAAUAAAACAAAAGUGCUUUCUCCUCUUUAGUAGUCCAUAUAAAAUGAACCAUUACAGAAAUAUUUACUUCAAGUCUGCCUCAAAAUUAGAGAUUAUUAUCUCAAGUAAUGUUCAAUCAUCGCUGACAUAGCAUAAAAUCUUUGGAAACUGAUACAUUGUAUUAAAAAUCUAACACCCUAAAAUAACAGAUCUAAAUAUUUUACAUACAACUGAUCCACAAGCAGUAAUGAAAAUUCCAAUAAAUAAUCUCAUUUGGAAUGUAAAGCUAAUAUACUUUUCACCCAUUCCAGCAGCUGCUACAGAAGCAUACCUUUAUGUAUAUAUAUACACUGGGUUGCCUAGGUAAAACUUUCAGUAUUAUUUGCAAUUUGCAGGUACUCAAAAAUAGGCAAUCCUAUUUCUGCAUGUAGCAAUGCAUGACAGGUAUGUUUUAUUUUUAUUCUAGAUUAUCAGAACUUUUUUUUUUCACUUUGCCUAAAUGUCUCCUAAUAUUAAUGCCUCUUUAUUCCCCAGGAGAUAAUACCCUAAAAUAUAAACAUAUAUUUGUUAAUCAUGAAAGGAGCAAGAGUAGAAAAGUACUAAAAAGGAGAUAGUUGAGUGAAAGUGAGAUCGAUAUGGUCUCUGAAUUGUCAUCCUUUCAGUGUUACACCAGCAUUUUAAUGGAUGAAAAAUUAAUUUACAUAUGUUAGUUAGGCAGUUACUUGGAAGUAGAAAUGCGUACAAAACUCACAGUGAACUGGAAUCACAGAUGUCCCCAAUAUUCUCAUUUGCACAAUUCUUAGAUAUGUUUCCUCUGCCUUUUCAGAUACCUUUAAUGGAAAACGCACUAGGAGAAUUUGCCAUAAAGUUGCUGUGUCAGCCAGAAUGAUUGGCACAUGAUGCCCCCUGCCUUUCUUCUUGCAUAUACUUACUUCAUCCUGGAAGGCAUUCUAGGCUGCAAGAGAAUUGGAAACAAGUGAGCAGGUGGACAAGAAGCUGAGAGGGCACAUGGACAAGACAGAUGACCCAAACUGGCCAAAGACAAAUUCCAUGCCACCGAAUGUCAUGUUUAGUAUAUAAACUGUGAAGAAUGACCAGGAGCUACUGAUCGGCCUUUGCGUCAGUCUCCAGUGCUGGGUGAUUGUAUGUGCAUGGCAUAUCCUGGACUUUAUUUAUCUUUCUUCUUUUGUGUUGUCUCCCUUUUCAUUAUAAUUGUUGCUGUUGUGUUUUUUGGGUUUUUUUUUUAAUUUUAUCUCAAUUAUUAAACAGUUCUUAACCUAUAAUUUGUACAUUUUUUCUGAUUCUACUGACAUCCCACCAGGGAGGGAGGCUGUGGGGAGCAGCUCUGGUGCCUAGCUGGAGCUUACAUCAUGACAGUUAACCAGAUGUGAAACAUAGAAGGGUAUAAUGAUAUUUCCAUGAAUGCAAGGUAUCAGCAAGGAUGAAUUGUAGUAGGAAGAGUGAAACUCAUCAUUAGAUAGCAAGGGUCUGUCUAAUUAAAAUUUACAAAGUGAAGAAUGAAUCAUGCUCUAUGAUCUGGAAUGCUGUGAAGUUUUAAAGGGGAAAAAAACCCCACACUUCUUUCAGCAUGUUACCCAGGCUGCUUGUGUGACCUAGCAGGCACUCUCUGAGUCAGAGAACAUUCUGAAAAGAAAAUUUGUCCUUUAAAGUCUCACAGACAGCAUAUGGUAGAGGUGGGAAAGAAGGUAUCAGAUGAAUAUAUGAAAUUGAAGUUUUGAUUCUUCAAUAAUAAUGAAUGGACAACUUCUCUCACCAAUUCUUUUUCCAGUGAUGUCCUAAGCUGAGAUGUCUCAGAAAACAAUGCCAUAUUUAAGCCUUAUACAUUUGAAUUAAGCAUGCUCCUCAUUGCUAAUAAAGCACAAAAAUUGUGUGA